RNAcentral lists this ribosomal RNA (421 nucleotides) under Fusobacteriota bacterium. Its description in RNAcentral is "Fusobacteria bacterium partial 16S ribosomal RNA". It matches the Rfam family "Bacterial small subunit ribosomal RNA", at positions 355 to 776 of the family's 1533-position model. The record is from RNAcentral. Lineage: Bacteria; Fusobacteriati; Fusobacteriota.
UGGGGAAUAUUGCACAAUGGACGGAAGUUUGAUGCAGCGACGCCGCGUGGAGGGUGUAGGCCUUCGGGUUGUGAACUCCUUUUUCUCGCGAAAAAGGCACAGUUUUGGCUGUGUUGAUGGUAGUGGGGGAAGAAGCGCCGGCUAACUACGUGCCAGCAGCCGCGGUAAUACGUAGGGCGCGAGCGUUGUCCGGAUUUAUUGGGCGUAAAGAGCUCGUAGGUGGUUCGUCGCGUCUGUCGUGAAAGCCAGCAGCUUAACUGUUGGUCUGCGGUGGGUACGGGCGGGCUUGAGUGCGGUAGGGGUGACUGGAAUUCCUGGUGUCGCGGUGGAAUGCGGAGAUAUCAGGGGGAACACCGAUGGCGAAGGCAGGUCACUGGGCCGUUACUGACACUGGGGAGCGAAAGCGUGGGGAGCGAACAGG